RNAcentral lists this ribosomal RNA (465 nucleotides) under Vreelandella stevensii. RNAcentral describes it as "partial 16S ribosomal RNA". It matches the Rfam family "Bacterial small subunit ribosomal RNA", at positions 338 to 795 of the family's 1533-position model. Lineage: Bacteria; Pseudomonadati; Pseudomonadota; Gammaproteobacteria; Oceanospirillales; Halomonadaceae. The record is from RNAcentral.
CCUACGGGCGGCAGCAGUGGGGAAUAUUGGACAAUGGGGGGAACCCUGAUCCAGCCAUGCCGCGUGUGUGAAGAAGGCCCUCGGGUUGUAAAGCACUUUCAGUGAGGAAGAACGCCUGGUGGUUAAUACCCAUCAGGAAAGACAUCACUCACAGAAGAAGCACCGGCUAACUCCGUGCCAGCAGCCGCGGUAAUACGGAGGGUGCGAGCGUUAAUCGGAAUUACUGGGCGUAAAGCGCGCGUAGGUGGCUUGAUAAGCCGGUUGUGAAAGCCCCGGGCUCAACCUGGGAACGGCAUCCGGAACUGUCAAGCUAGAGUGCAGGAGAGGAAGGUAGAAUUCCCGGUGUAGCGGUGAAAUGCGUAGAGAGCGGGAGGAAUACCAGUGGCGAAGGCGGCCUUCUGGACUGACACUGACACUGAGGUGCGAAAGCGUGGGUAGCAAACAGGAUUAGAUACCCUAGUAGUC